Molecule: ribosomal RNA, 234 nt
Filed under: uncultured bacterium
Lineage: Bacteria
Description: partial 16S ribosomal RNA
Rfam family: Bacterial small subunit ribosomal RNA
Source: RNAcentral
GAUCAUGGCUCAGGAUGAACGCUGGCGGCGCGCCUAACACAUGCAAGUCGAACGAGAGAGAGGAAGCUUGCUUCCUCAAUCGAGUGGCGAACGGGUGAGUAACGCGUGAGGAACCUGCCUCAAAGAGGGGGACAACAGUUGGAAACGACUGCUAAUACCGCAUAAGCCCACGGCUCGGCAUCGAGCAGAGGGAAAAGGAGUAAUCCGCUUUGAGAUGGCCUCGCGUCCGAUUAG